GCGUGCGACUCUCCAAUCGUCGUAGAGCGACGUGACGCAAAUGCUCAGGGAAACUUGCGGAGCUUAGAAAAAAGCAAGGAUUUUUUCGUUGCGCUUCCAAAAUGAAGGUUUUAAGGAAGGCGGGAUUUGGAGGAAGAGUGGAUCGGAAAGGCGGGGUCAUAACGUUGAAUGGGAACGGUUCGGUUUUCAAGAAAAAAAACUGAACAACCAUUUGUCUGAGAUGUUGUGAAGUCUCCUGCCUUCAGUAGUCUAAAAGACCUCCACACUCUCUUCAGUCCUUUGUUGCUGCUUUUGUGUUGGAUGCAUCAAGGCACUUCUGAGUUGAAAGGAUUAGCUGGUGACAUCAGCGUAGUCCAGGAGAUGACUAAGUGGAGGCUCCUUUCAUAUCCCUAUUAAUGUGCCAGCCCAAGUGGUACUUAUCUACUUGUGACUGCUCACUUUUGAACUGCUUGGUCAGCAGAAGCUAAAUGACAAGCCCUUGCCCCGUCAUGCAGCAGCACUCAGAUUAUUGAACACUAGUUUGCUGAUUGUUAACCCAGAGUUCUAACCAUGUGACUCACCACAUUCUCCUCAACCCUAUGAUUCUAUGAGUCUAUGCUUCUAUGACAUGUCCUCCAAGAAUUUUUCUAACCCCCCCCCCUAAAAAGCCAUAUUAGAGGCCACUGCCAUGUCUUGUCCAUGGAUUAAUUAUAUACUGUUUAAAUAAAUUAUUUUGUCAGUUCUAAAUCUCCUACUUAGCUUAAUUGAAUUACCUUUGUUUCUAAUAUUUUGAGAGGAGAAAUAAAAUUCCUUUUGAUUUUCCUUGUUAUAUAUCUUGCUUAUGUUUACCUAAGUUGCCUUUUUCUAAGGUUAAACAUUAGAAAGUCCCCAACAUUAUGACCUUUUCUUGUAAAGUAAUUCUUUUGGCUGCCUUAUUCUAUACUGUUUCUAGUUCUUUUCCAUCCUUUUUAAAAAGUGACUGCCAAAACUAUAUACAGUAUUCUAGAUGCACAUUAAAUUUGAAUAAGGACUUUAUAAUUUUGGUAGCCUUUCCAAGUAUUCCAAAUAUUUCCAAAUAUUCUUUGGUAUGUCAUUUGCCUUUUUAUAGCUACUGCAGAUUUACUUGGCUGUGUACCAUGACCUGUAUAAAAAUACCCAUCCACCCACAAGAGAAAGAGAAUGACCAAUUCUAAUAUAUAUCAUAAAUAUUUAUUUUUGUGUAUUUAUUAAAUUUAUAUACUGUCCAAUUCCCAAUCACUCUAAAUGGUUCACAAAUAAACAUAUUUAUGAAAUAUGA
Crotalus tigris (Tiger rattlesnake) is the source of this 1276-nucleotide long non-coding RNA. RefSeq lists it as uncharacterized. Lineage: Eukaryota; Metazoa; Chordata; Lepidosauria; Squamata; Viperidae. The transcript has 2 exons. The record is from RefSeq and is a predicted model, not a curated record.